UAAGAGAUGGACAAAGUCCUAGGGUGACA
RNAcentral lists this non-coding RNA (29 nucleotides) under Homo sapiens (human). Lineage: Eukaryota; Metazoa; Chordata; Mammalia; Primates; Hominidae. The record is from RNAcentral.